GAAACUUACGUCACACCUGCACUGAACCAUUCAUUUCCUCUAUUACAGUUUAUUUCCUCAUAUGGAGUGUAUAUAAGACAGAAAUAAAUUGAAAACUUAUCAAAACAUUUCUGUACACCGUUAAAUAACGAUACGCAUAUAUUCAAGGUAAGUUAUAUGUCUAUAAUGAAUUUAUUUUUCAAAAUAUAAUAGAUUAUAUUUUAAUGUAUGCAAUUAAUGUUUAAUUUAAAGAACAACAACGUCUAUCUUGUUAAAACAAUAGAUUCGCAGUAUAAGAUAUAUGAAUAAUGAUGAUGAUUAUGAUUUGAGCAUGAAAUAUUUCUAGCAACGUCAAAUCAUCUAAAAUCACGGAUUCAAAAGAUAUAAGAAUAGUCCUAAUCAGUUAAAAACAAUUCGAGGAUUAACAGAUAAAUGUCUUUUUCUUAAUACUAUAAUGUAUGGCAAUAAUACAUUUUCCAUGGUGAAUCCUGCAGAUAAGUGUUGCAGUCCUCGUUUAAAGCAUCAGAUAUAUUGGUUUCAAUUAUUUUUUCAUUUUUUAGUGACAUUUUCAAACCAAUCAAUUUUAGUUGCAUUUGUUUUAAUAUUCAUUCUAGGUAUAAUGGAAGGGAAAGCUGUUAUCAUUUUCUUUGGCUUUAUAGCAUGUGCUUUUGCUGGUAUGUAUUUUAUGACGUUAUAUAUUUUUAUUAUUGUUCAAAUGAGGAUUUAUACAAAGGAAUAAGUCAUGAGCAAUCAUUUUUAAAACUUUACAGACCAAAUUUUUGAAAACAAACUAUCAUAAGAUUCUUUAAAAAAAUGAUUAAAAUACAUGAAUGUUAAAAUUAACAUACAAACAAGGAUACAUCGUUUCAGCACUUGGCUUAUACGUUUACCAUUCCUCAUAAGGAAACAAUCGCAGAAAACAAGGAAAUUUGAAAUCAUUUAAGGAAAAAAAUUGUAAAAGGAAAAUAAAAAAUGACGGAUACAUAAAAUAAGAGAACCUUAUAUAUUGUAUUUAGAGCACAAAUAAAAUUAACGACCCAGUGGUAGUAAUAAAAUUAACGGUACCAAUUUUCUUGCACCAGAUGCGCAUUUCGAUAAUACAUGUCUCUUCAGUGAUGCUCGUGGCCAAAAUAUUUGAAUCCAAAGCUUAUAUAAAUGAUGAAGAGCUAUAAUCCAAAAGGUCCAAAAAGUAUAGCCAAAUUCGUGAAAGGAAUCAGAGCUUUUCAUGAGGGAGAUACAUUCUUUAAUUUAUAAUAAUUUCUAUCAUUUUGUAACAGCAAAUUUUUAUAACACAAAAAAAUCCGUAUUUUCAUGCCAGUACCGAAUUACUGGCUACUGGGCUGGUAAUACCCUCGGGGACUAAUAGUCCACCAGCAGAGGCAUCGACCCAGUGGUAGUAAUAAAAUUAACGGUACUAAUUUUCUUGCACCAGAUGCGCAUUUCGACAAUACAUGUCUCUUCAGUGAUGCUCGUGGCCAAAAUAUUUGAAAUCCAAAGCUUAUUUAAAAGAUGAAGAGCUAUAAUCCAAAAGGUCCAAAAGGUAUAGCAACAUCCGUGAAAGGAAUCAGAGCUUUGCAUGAGGGAGAUACAUUCCUUAAUUUAUGAUAAUUUCUAUCAUUUUGUAACAGCAAAUUUUUAUAACACAAAAAAAUCCGUAUUUUCAUGCCAGUACCGAAGUACUAGCUACUGGGCUGGUGAUAACUUCGGGGACUAAUAGUCCACCAGCAGAGCAUCGACCCUGUGGUAGUAAUAAAAUUAACGGUACAAAUUUUUCUUGCGCCAGAUGCGCAUCUCGACAAUACAUGUCUCUUCAGUGAUGCUCGUGGCCAAAAUAUUGAAAUCCAAAGCUUAUAUAAAAGAUGAAGAGCUAUAAUCCAAAAGGUCCAAAAAGUAUAGCCAAAUCCGUGAAAGAAUCAGAGCUUUGCAUGAGGAGAUACAUUCCUUAAUUUAUAAUAAUUUCUAUCAUUUUGUAACAGCAAAUUUUAUAACACAAAAAAAUCCGUAUUUUCAUGCCAGUACCAAGUACUGGCUACUGGGCUGGUGAUACCAUCGGGAACUAAUAGUCCACCAGCAGAUGGCAUCGACCCAGUGGUAGUAAUAAAAAUUAACGGUACCAAUUUUCUUGCACCAGAUGCGCAUUUCGACAAUACAUGUCUCUUAGUUCAGUGAUGCCUGUGGCCAAAAUAUUGAAAAUCCAAGCUUUAUAUAAAAGAUGAAGAGCUAUAUCCAAAAGGUCCAAAACUAUAGCCAAAUCCGUGAAAGGAAUCAGAGCUUUGAUGAGGGAGAUACAUUCCUUAAUUAUAAUAAUUUCUAUCAUUUUGUAACAGCAAAUUUUUAUAACACAAAAAAUCGUAUUUUCAUGCCAGUACCGAAAAGUACUGGCUACUGGGCUGGUGAUACCCUCGGGAUAAUAGUCCACCAGCAGAGGCAUCGACCCAGUGGUAGUAAUAAAAUUAACGGUACCAAUUUUCUUGCACCAGAUGCGCAUUUGACAAUACAUGUCUCUUCAGUGAUGCUCGUGGCCAAAAUAUUUGAAAUCCAAAGCUUAUAUAAAAGAUGAAGAGCUAUAAUCCAAAAGUCCAAAAAGUAUAGCCAAAUCCGUGAAAGGAAUCAGAGCUUUGCAUGAGGGAGAUACAUUCCUUAAUUUAUAAUAAUUUCUAUCAUUUUGUAACAGCACAUUUUUAUAACACAAAAAAAUCCGUAUUUUCAUGCCAGUACCGAAGUACUCAAACAUGGUUUUCUAUUGGUGUUAGUAAAUUAGAACAGCGGUUUUUGAUUUAAAAAAAUAAGUAAUAGAACAAAGAGUUCCAAAAAAAUAUCAUUUUUUUUUUUGGGGUUAUUGUUAGAGAAAAUGAAAAUAAAUCUAUUUUACCUUUUUGCUACGAGUAAAAAGCUUAUUUUACUUUCACCACUAACGCUGAAACUACGAAAGCACUUAUACUCUAUGCAAUAUUUAUAUCAAUAUUGCAAUGUAUAAUACACAUUUUGAUGGUAAAAAAUAUCGAAACUGAAUAAUAUUUAAAAUCUAAGCUACUUCAUUGAAGAGUCUUAUGUUGACGAAAAGCGCAACUGGCUUAUCAAAUUAUAAGCCUGGUACCUUUUAUAUUUUACGAAUGAUAAUUCAUAUUUCAACAUUUCUAAUUAAAAUUUAUUAUUACAGUAUAUUCACCCAAAGGCGGGAAAGUUUGUGAAAUUGAAUGCUCCAGUCAUUCAGAAUGUCUAGAUGGAUACAAAUGCCAAACCGAAGGAUGUGAUCGUAUGUGCAGACCUGGAAAAGUAAUUUUAUCUAAUGCAGUUGUCGGAUCAGACAUUAUUUCAGCUGGAUGCGUUCAGAGAUGUAUGGACCGAGGUGGGCUAGGUUGCAGAAGUCUUUGUCAGCGUAGUGCAGAUUUAUUAUCAGGAGGCCAAAUCAUUCGUAGUGGUUCCUUAGACAGUAGAUUCAAUGAUGCCUUAGUAGAUUCUAUUCGGCCAGAUAGUCUUGUUAGACAUACCUCGUCAUUAGGUGAUUCUAUUCGGUCAGGUAGUCUUGUUAGACAUAUCUCGCCAGUAGGUGAUUCUAUUCGGUCAGAUAGUCUUCUUGGACGUAUCUCACCAGUAGGUGAUUCUAUUCGAUCAGGUAGUCUUGUUAGACAUAUCUCGCCAGUAGGUGAUUCUAUUCGGUCAGGUAGUCUUCUUGGACGUAUCUCGCAAGUUGGUUCAAUUUUACAUAAAGGCUGUCAAAAUACAUGCAUUUCACGAGGCUGCAACUUCAACGAGGAAUGUGUCACACGAGAUGGAUGUUCUGUAUGUGUUCGUGCCAAGACCUACGCAUAAGAUAAGACAACAGAUGACAUAAUAUAUUGUGCAAUAUUUAAAUGAUAGUUAUCCAUUGAUCGUGAUAUUUUAUAAUUUUGUUUUGAUACACAAAUAAAGUAUUUAUUAUAACAGAGUUUAUUUUAAUUUUGGUCUUAGAUUUACAGCUGCCUCUAAUGCAUGUUAAAAAACAAAAUCAGCAACAAAUCGUUACCUUAGAAACUUCUAACUGAAAUAUAAG
RNAcentral lists this long non-coding RNA (4012 nucleotides) under Mytilus galloprovincialis (Mediterranean mussel). The record is from RNAcentral. Lineage: Eukaryota; Metazoa; Mollusca; Bivalvia; Mytilida; Mytilidae.